CAUCAACAAAGGGUUUUCAACUCGAGAAGUUAGAGUUGCAUUAGGUAGACCACCACCACUGGAGUGGGAUGUUCGAGGGAAGACUUACAAAGAAAUUGGUGAUUAUUCCCAACAUUUCUCUAGAGAGAUCGGCAUUCUCAUUCGACAAUAUGCCGAUCCCAACUACGACCGAUGGGAUAAAUUACCCAGCGAAGUUAGGGAUCGCAUACUUCCUCGUCUAGAGGAUGAUUUAUUCGACAUUGGUCGAAGUCGAUAUGCCUCAGAGAACCUCCCCGGCAUUCUUUUGGGCAUUCAACGGUCGUGCGCUGAUCGUUACUCGGAGUGGAAGAAUGACUUGUCCACUCAUUUAAAAAAGAAUGGUCGAGCACAUCCUCCUGAUGGUUUGGGCAUGGAGAAAUGAUAGAAGGCGCUCCAGUAUUUUGAUCGCCCUGAAGUGAAGAGAAGCGUGCAGGGUUCACAGUCUACGCCAGCCCUUCGUUACAAGAAGGUACUUUCUUUUUUACAUAAUUUUUAUUUAUGUUUUUUUAUAAUGAUUUUUUUUCUUAAUUUUUUUCAAACUUCUUGUAUUGUAGCGUGAUUUAUAAACUGGGUGUCUUGCUAGAGUUCCAGAGAUUUGGAUGGCGACUAAGUACAUAGACGGGGAAGGUUGGGUGAGCAAGGCAGCAAAGGAUAACUAUGAAAAGAUGAUGGAGAUACGUGACACUCUGCAGUCACAAUCAUCUACGAGCGCCUCUGCUUCGAGUACUAUCCCGAGAGAAGAGGAUGACAUUGUUCUUGUUGAGACGAUCUUUGGACGUCAUUGAGGCUAUCAGCCGGGCCUUGGUCGUAGGAUUCGCACGAGGGCGAAUUGUGAAGCGGAUGAUGUACCUCAACCAGCCCAACCACCUCCUACCACACAAGACAUGCAAGAGGUGAGGGAGCGACUCCGAGCCAUAGAGGAGCACUUGGCUAGGAUUGGUGGAGUCUCGGGAUCUGGAUCUUCUCAGCAAGGUCAUGGUGCCGAUCCUACAACACCUAGUUAAAACAUUUAUAUUUAUAUAUUUUAA
Molecule: long non-coding RNA, 1046 nt
Organism: Humulus lupulus (European hop)
Lineage: Eukaryota; Viridiplantae; Streptophyta; Magnoliopsida; Rosales; Cannabaceae
Exons: 4
Source: RefSeq, a predicted model, not a curated record